RNAcentral lists this ribosomal RNA (253 nucleotides) under uncultured bacterium. RNAcentral's name for it is "partial 16S ribosomal RNA". It matches the Rfam family "Bacterial small subunit ribosomal RNA", at positions 524 to 776 of the family's 1533-position model. The record is from RNAcentral.
CACGUAGGGCGCAAGCGUUGUCCGGAAUUAUUGGGCGUAAAGAGCUCGUAGGUGGUCUGUUGCGUCCGCUGUGAAAACUCGGGGCUUAACCCCGAGCCUGCAGUGGAUACGGGCAGACUAGAGGUAGGUGGGGGAGAAUGGAAUUCCUGGUGUAGCGGUGAAAUGCGUAGAUAUCAAGAGGAACACCUGAGGUGAAGGCGGCCUUCUGGACAGUGACUGACGCUGAGAUGCGAAAGCGUGGGGAGCAAACAGG